RNAcentral lists this ribosomal RNA (443 nucleotides) under Nephroselmis pyriformis. RNAcentral describes it as "partial Bacterial large subunit ribosomal RNA". It matches the Rfam family "Bacterial large subunit ribosomal RNA", at positions 2045 to 2486 of the family's 2925-position model. The record is from RNAcentral. Lineage: Eukaryota; Viridiplantae; Chlorophyta; Nephroselmidophyceae; Nephroselmidales; Nephroselmidaceae.
AAUUCUCCGUGAAGAUGCGGAGUACCCGCGGUUAGACGGAAAGACCCCGUGCACCUUUACUGCAGCUUUAGAGUGGCAUUAGGAAAGAACUGUGUAGAAUAGGUGGGAGGCUUUGAAACUUGGGCGCCAGUCCGAGUGGAGCCAACCUGUGAAAUACCACCCUGUUGUUUUCUGAUGUCUAACCUAGGUCCGUUAUCCGGACCAGGGACCCUCUAUGGCGGGUAGUUUGACUGGGGCGGUCGCCUCCCAAAGAGUAACGGAGGCGCGCGAUGGUGGGCUCAGAGCGGUCGGAAAUCGCUCGUUGAGUGCAAUGGCAUAAGCCCGCCUGACUGCGAGACUGACAGGUCGAGCAGAGUCGAAAGACGGCCAUAGUGAUCCGGUGGUCCCAAGUGGGAGGGCCAUCGCUCAACGGAUAAAAGGUACGCCGGGGAUAACAGGCUGAU